RNAcentral lists this ribosomal RNA (246 nucleotides) under uncultured bacterium. RNAcentral describes it as "partial 16S ribosomal RNA". It matches the Rfam family "Bacterial small subunit ribosomal RNA", at positions 92 to 334 of the family's 1533-position model. The record is from RNAcentral.
CGACCGGCGCGCGGGUGAGUAACACGUAUGCAAUCCACCUGUAACAGGGGGAUAACCCGGAGAAAUCCGGACUAAUACCCCAUAAUAUGGGCUCUCCGCAUGGAGGGUCCAUUAAAGAGAGCAAUUUUGGUUACAGACGAGCAUGCGCUCCAUUAGCCAGUUGGCGGGGUAACGGCCCACCAAAGCGACGAUGGAUAGGGGUUCUGAGAGGAAGGUCCCCCACAUUGGAACUGAGACACGGUCCAA